RNAcentral lists this non-coding RNA (93 nucleotides) under Geminigera cryophila. Lineage: Eukaryota; Cryptophyceae; Pyrenomonadales; Geminigeraceae. The record is from RNAcentral.
AACAAAAACUCCGUCAUCGCCUUCGCCGACAACUCGUCCUCGAUCGUAGGCCCAAAGCAAACAGUGCUGUCACCCGAGUACGCCACGAACAAG